Brassica napus (rape) is the source of this 2641-nucleotide long non-coding RNA. RefSeq lists it as uncharacterized. The transcript is spliced from 3 exons. The record is from RefSeq and is a predicted model, not a curated record. NCBI's taxonomy places the organism in Eukaryota, Viridiplantae, Streptophyta, Magnoliopsida, Brassicales, Brassicaceae.
GUUCAUACGUAAGGUUUCCUAAAAUACACACACAAAGCAUUUUUUUACUGUGAAAGUUUACAAUGUCGGCAUCGAAAUUUGCUAUAUUUUGUAUUGUUCUCAUUUGUCUUGCUAGUCUUCAUGAAUGUGCCAACCCCGAAAAAAAAGCCCAAAGGAACAUGCUCUAAAACACCAAAGAAUGUUUGGUGUUGCAGUUCCACUACACACUGCCGAAGCACCAAAGCGGAUUGUGAGAAGAUGUGUAUCUGGUAGUAUCUAGGGCCGUUGAAUUUUACCAAAGAGAAUUUCAAUAAUUAUAUAUUCCAAUUAUUUUCAUAAUUCUAUUAUUCAAAAUUUAAAGAAUAAACAGAAAUUCCUAUUCCACAGAAGUAGCUAGUAUUAUGUACUAAAUGUUUUGGAAUUUCUUUGAAAGAUCAAUAUAUAUAGUUGUAACUUUCUUCAAUUUUAUUUAAGAAAUUUAUAAAUUUUAUAGAAAAUGAGAAUAAAACCACUGUACCUGUUUAACUAAAAUUUAAAUGUUGUAAGUACUUUGUAAAUUAAAUAAAAUAAAAAUACAUCACUUCAAAAUAUAUUAUAAAUUAUAUAAAUUAAUUAAUUAACACAAAAAUUAACAAUUUUCACCAUUCUCGGACUUGACCGAUUCAAAAUAUAACACAAUUGUUUAAGAUAAUAAGAUAAUGUACUGUAAUCCAUAACGGUGUGGGUCUUCUCAAACACUAAAAUUUUAUAAUAAAAAUUAAUAUAUAAUUUUUUUAUAAAUAUAACCAAAACAUUGUUUUGUUUCCACCAUGAACUUAAUCGCUAAUUAUUCUUAACCAUUCACAACAUUUUGAUAUGGUUUUAUCACUUACUUGUAAAACACAUUUGCAUUAUAUAAUCCAUAUCUUAUAUACAUCAAAUUAUUUAACAAGAAAAAGUUGAAAGCCAAAGUUAAGAUUAAUUAAUAUAUAAGCCAAGAAAAAAUGAUUUUUUAUUUGACAUAAAUAAUUUAUUUAAUAUAUGAAUGACAAAAAUGAUUUUUUUCUAAACAAAUAAUAUAUCAUAUUUACACCAUUACUAAUAAAAUAAUUUUCAGUUAUUUUACAAUAACUGAAAACACAUAAUUUUUAUUUCAUGUAAUAUGCAUCUUACAUGAAACAAUAUAUUAUUGUUAUGAACAAGGUUAUUAAUGAGAAAGGUUUUUCAUUGAAUUUAACCAUGAGGCUUCAAUAAUGCUUACGAUAUUACUGACAUUGUGAUCAUGUUUUAUCUUGGAAAAUGGUGGUUUAUAGCACUAUUAUUAUUAUUAAAUUAUUCUCACGUAAAAUAUGUCAUUUUGAAAACCAAUAAAUAAUAUAAUGGCUACCUAGGCGUUAGUUCAUAUUAGUAACAUAACUUUUAUUAUUUUGUUUUUCUCUUAUGAUAGUCCUUACAAUAUUUUGAUUAUCAUAUAUAUUUCUCACGUACAUCUAUGUUUGGAAAAUAAUAAUAAAAAUAUUUUUCUUUAUUUAUUUCACCAUAAAAAUACUUUUUGGUAAAUUAGAACUUUUAAGUAAAUUAGUAUCUACAAUAACUUUUAACUUCAAUCAGUAUAUGCCCGACUUUCAUAAUAUAUAUAGAUAAAUCCAUUAAGAAUCGAAGACUCUAUUUUUCCAUCUAAAAUAAAUUAGUAAAAAAAAAUAUAGUAGCUACUCUUUGCUAAUUUAAUUUGGCCACAUCUUUAAGCUUUUAAAGUUACCCAUAUAUAUAUACAUAUGGCUGUACUUUUAGGUGGUGAUAUAUCCUAUCAAAAAAUAAAAUGAAAAUUUUGGAACUUUUUAACAUAAAUAUAUUAAAAUAUAAGGAGAAUAAAAGUAACCAAUAAUUAUAUUUUCAGAUUCUUCGGAUUAUCAUGCGAAACAUUUUCAGGGACAUAUAUACAUCUUCUCAUAUAAGGAUAUCGAUAAGAAAUUAGUAAAUGCUAAAAUUGGUAGCUAAUCUAUUGCUAGUUUAUUUUAUCCACAUAUUUAAUCUUUCAACGUUACAUAUAUAUAUAUACGGUUGUCGUUAAUAGGUAUUUUUAGGUGCUGAAUUAUUGUAUCAAAAACGAAAAUGAAUAUUUUAAAUAAAAUUUAACAUAAAUAUUUUAGGAUAUAAAGAAAAUAAAACUAACCAAUCAAUUGAAAACAGUUUUUCUGGAUAAUUCUAAAAAUAGUCUUCAAAGACCUAUAUAUAUGUAUAUGUUCAUACGUAAGGUUUCCUAAAAUACACACACAAAGCAUUUUUUUACUGUGAAAGUUUACAAUGUCGGCAUCAAAAUUUGCUAUAUUUUGUAUUGUUCUCAUUUGUCUUGCUAGUCUUCAUGAAUGUGCCAACCCGGAAAGAAAGCCCAAAGGAACAUGCUCUAAAACACCAAAGAAUGUUUGGUGUUGCAGUUCCACUACACACUGCCGAAGCACCAAAGCGGAUUGCGAGAAGAUAUGUAUCUGGUAGUAUUUGGGGCCGUUGAAUUUUACCAAAGAGAAUUUCAAUAAUUAUAUAUUCCAAUUAUUUUCAUAAUUCUAUUAUUCAAAAUUUAAAGAAUAAAUAGAAAUUCCUAUUCCACAGGAGCAGCUAGUAUUAUGUACUAAAUGUUUUGGAGUUUCUUUGAAAGAUCAAUAUAUAUAGUUGUAACUUUCUUCAA